Molecule: unclassified non-coding RNA, 200 nt
Filed under: uncultured Serendipita
Lineage: Eukaryota; Fungi; Basidiomycota; Agaricomycetes; Sebacinales
Description: partial internal transcribed spacer 2
Source: RNAcentral
UAAUCUCACUCCUUCAACUUUUGUUGCUGGAUGUGGACUUGGACUCUGUCGUGUUACAACGACUGGUCUGAAAUGCCUGAGUGCACCCUGCUGUUGCAGCGUCUUCAGUGUGAUAAGCAUCUUCACUGAUUCAAGUUCCUUCGGGACACGUAGCAUUGUGGGCUCUGUGCUGACGAACCGUCUUUGGACAAUCUUUGACA